UACGUAGGGUGCAAGCGUUAUCCGGAUUUAUUGGGCGUAAAGGGCUCGUAGGCGGUUCGUCGCGUCCGGUGUGAAAGUCCAUCGCUUAACGGUGGAUCCGCGCCGGGUACGGGCGGGCUCGAGUGCGGUAGGGGAGACUGGAAUUCCCGGUGUAACGGUGGAAUGUGUAGAUAUCGGGAAGAACACCAAUGGCGAAGGCAGGUCUCUGGGCCGUUACUGACGCUGAGGAGCGAAAGCGUGGGGAGCGAACAGG
Molecule: ribosomal RNA, 253 nt
Filed under: uncultured bacterium
Lineage: Bacteria
Description: partial 16S ribosomal RNA
Rfam family: Bacterial small subunit ribosomal RNA
Source: RNAcentral